UAGACACUCCCUCCGUCCAAUAAAAGAUGUCUCAAGUUUGUCAAAAUUUAGAUGUAUCUAGACAUGACUUAGUGUAUAGAUGCAUUCAAAACAUCUUUUAUUGGACGGAGGAAGUAUUAU
This is a non-coding RNA of Brachypodium distachyon (stiff brome), 120 nucleotides long. NCBI's taxonomy places the organism in Eukaryota, Viridiplantae, Streptophyta, Magnoliopsida, Poales, Poaceae. The record is from Rfam.